GUCCUGAAGGCUCAAUGGUAGAACAUAUGAUUCAAUUGUAGGGUGCAGGUUUGACUCCUGCUCGGGACA
Non-coding RNA from Rhizophagus irregularis, 69 nucleotides. The record is from Rfam. NCBI's taxonomy places the organism in Eukaryota, Fungi, Glomeromycota, Glomeromycetes, Glomerales, Glomeraceae.